GCCCCAUUGGCGCAGUUGGUUAGCGCGUCGUACUUAUAAUGCGAAGGUCGGCAGUUCGAGCCUGCCAUGGGGCA
Molecule: transfer RNA, 74 nt
Filed under: Brugia malayi
Lineage: Eukaryota; Metazoa; Nematoda; Chromadorea; Rhabditida; Onchocercidae
Description: tRNA-Ile
Rfam family: tRNA
About the family: Transfer RNA (tRNA) molecules are approximately 80 nucleotides in length.
Source: RNAcentral